CACCAAAAUGCAUUACUAUAUUUUUAGUAUGUUCAAGAGAUUUCAUCUUACUUGAAAAUAAAA
RNAcentral lists this transfer RNA (63 nucleotides) under Lotharella globosa. The record is from RNAcentral. Lineage: Eukaryota; Cercozoa; Chlorarachniophyceae.